UCCACGCGUACCCAUCCCGAACACGACCGUUAAGCCCUCCAGCGCCGAUGGUACUUGGACCGAAGGGUCCUGGGAGAGUAGGACGCCGCCAAGC
RNAcentral lists this ribosomal RNA (94 nucleotides) under Paenibacillus forsythiae. RNAcentral also lists the same sequence under 3 other names. The record is from RNAcentral. Lineage: Bacteria; Bacillati; Bacillota; Bacilli; Caryophanales; Paenibacillaceae.